This 1407-nucleotide ribosomal RNA is filed under the name uncultured bacterium. RNAcentral describes it as "bacterial SSU rRNA". It matches the Rfam family "Bacterial small subunit ribosomal RNA". The record is from RNAcentral.
GAUGAACGCUGGCGGCGUGCUUAACACAUGCAAGUCGAACGAACCUUCGGGUUAGUGGCGGACGGGUGAGUAACGCGUGAGAAUCUGCCCUCAGGAGGGGGAUAACGGCUGGAAACGGCCGCUAAUACCCCAUAUGCCGAGAGGUGAAAUGAGUUUCGCCUGAGGAUGAGCUCGCGUCUGAUUAGCUAGUUGGUGGGGUAAGAGCCUACCAAGGCAUCGAUCAGUAGCUGGUCUGAGAGGAUGAUCAGCCACACUGGGACUGAGACACGGCCCAGACUCCUACGGGAGGCAGCAGUGGGGAAUUUUCCGCAAUGGGCGAAAGCCUGACGGAGCAACGCCGCGUGAGGGAUGAAGGCCUCUGGGCUGUAAACCUCUUUUAUCAAGGAAGAAGAUCUGACGGUACUUGAUGAAUAAGCCACGGCUAAUUCCGUGCCAGCAGCCGCGGUAAUACGGGAGUGGCAAGCGUUAUCCGGAAUUAUUGGGCGUAAAGCGUCCGCAGGCGGCCUCGUAAGUCUGUUGUCAAAGCGUGGAGCUUAACUCCAUUUCGGCAAUGGAAACUGUGAGGCUUGAGUGUGGUAGGGGCAGAGGGAAUUCCCGGUGUAGCGGUGAAAUGCGUAGAUAUCGGGAAGAACACCAGUGGCGAAGGCGCUCUGCUGGGCCAUAACUGACGCUCAUGGACGAAAGCCAGGGGAGCGAAAGGGAUUAGAUACCCCUGUAGUCCUGGCCGUAAACGAUGAACACUAGGUGUCGGGGGAAUCGACCCCCUCGGUGUCGUAGCCAACGCGUUAAGUGUUCCGCCUGGGGAGUACGCACGCAAGUGUGAAACUCAAAGGAAUUGACGGGGGCCCGCACAAGCGGUGGAGUAUGUGGUUUAAUUCGAUGCAACGCGAAGAACCUUACCAGGGUUUGACAUCCUGCGAAUCCCUUGGAAACGAGGGAGUGCCUUCGGGAGCGCAGUGACAGGUGGUGCAUGGCUGUCGUCAGCUCGUGUCGUGAGAUGUUGGGUUAAGUCCCGCAACGAGCGCAACCCACGUCUUUAGUUGCCAGCAUUCAGUUGGGCACUCUAGAGAGACCGCCGGUGAUAAACCGGAGGAAGGUGUGGAUGACGUCAAGUCAUCAUGCCCCUUACAUCCUGGGCUACACACGUACUACAAUGCUACGGACAAAGGGCAGCAAACUCGCGAGAGCUAGCAAAUCCCAUAAACCGUGGCUCAGUUCAGAUCGUAGGCUGCAACUCGCCUACGUGAAGGAGGAAUCGCUAGUAAUCGCAGGUCAGCAUACUGCGGUGAAUACGUUCCCGGGCCUUGUACACACCGCCCGUCACACCAUGGAAGUUGGCCACGCCCGAAGCCGUUACUCCAACCCUUGUGGAGGAGGACGUCGAAGGUGGGGCUGAUGACUGGGGUG